Rhea pennata is the source of this 852-nucleotide long non-coding RNA. RefSeq lists it as uncharacterized. The record is from RefSeq and is a predicted model, not a curated record. The transcript is spliced from 3 exons. NCBI's taxonomy places the organism in Eukaryota, Metazoa, Chordata, Aves, Rheiformes, Rheidae.
GCUGCAGAGCACUGUACCUGCACUAUACAUCUAUUAGCAAUUCAAAACAUCAGUUUGCAAGCUCAGAGUCCAGCCACAUGGGAGCCACUGCACAUAUUCCUUGGCCUUUGUUUUAUUUUAAGUAAAUCCUCAGUAAGAGUUUGGUUUCCUCUUAUGUUGAUAAUCCACAAAGAGUUUUUGCAACAACUGAAGAGUUAACAACAAAACUGCAUGAGAGGCAUUACUCAGAGCUGUGUGCAGCCAUAAUGCAGGUCUGGAGAAGAGGAGGAGGGCUCUGAAGCCUCACCUCUGCGAAGCGACAUGCAGCACAUGCCACACCAGGCAGUAAAGCUGCAGCUAAAACCCUCUUAGGCUCCCCCCGGAGAACCACCUUCCCAAGAAAUUCACUCCAACCUGGAACUGGCUCCAUCAGGCAAAAUGAGAAGCAGGAAUGGAAAGAGGCAUUAACUCAAUGACUUCAGUAGCAAUGUCAUUACUUCAAGGGAUCAAGAUUCUAGCCUUUGCAUUCAGCUAUGGGAGUGCCUCUCCUGAAAUGCUUUGGAGAGAAAGCUGCCAAAAUUUGGUACUGACAGGAGAGAGGACCAGGAUGGAGCUCAGUAAUGGAUGACAGACUGAAGGACACAACAGAAGAAGAAGGGCUUGUUGUAAGAGAUUAAUCAGAAAACUAAAGGUUCUCUCGAAAGCCAUACUGUUUCUUUCAAACAGCAUGAGCACUGAAGGCUCAGAACUACCACAGAACUGUGCUAUUACCAAGGCAGACACAGGUGCAAGAAUGGCACCGUGCUACGUCACUUGAGAGCACGUCCCAAUCAGGAUGCCAGUGGGGUCAGAGGGUUUUGACUUCCCAAGCAC